RNAcentral lists this ribosomal RNA (244 nucleotides) under Clostridioides difficile. Its description in RNAcentral is "partial 23S ribosomal RNA". It matches the Rfam family "Bacterial large subunit ribosomal RNA", at positions 1538 to 1794 of the family's 2925-position model. The record is from RNAcentral. Lineage: Bacteria; Bacillati; Bacillota; Clostridia; Peptostreptococcales; Peptostreptococcaceae.
AAAUCCGCUUUGAUAAUGCUGGGAUGUGAUGGGGAGCGAAAUUUAGUAGCGAAGUAGCUGAUUUCACACUGUCAAGAAAAGUCUCUAUCGAGGGUAAAGGUACCCGUACCGCAAACCGACACAGGGGGGUGAGGAGAGUAUCCUAAGGCCAGCGAGAGAACUGUUGUUAAGGAACUCGGCAAAAUGACCCCGUAACGUAGGGAUAAGGGGGGCAACAACCGGGUGGCCGCAGAGAGGAGGCGCA